This 497-nucleotide ribosomal RNA is filed under the name uncultured bacterium. Its description in RNAcentral is "partial 16S ribosomal RNA". It matches the Rfam family "Bacterial small subunit ribosomal RNA", at positions 28 to 507 of the family's 1533-position model. The record is from RNAcentral.
GAUGAACGCUGGCGGCGUGCCUAAUACAUGCAGGUCGAGCGAACAGACGAGGAGCUUGCUCCUCUGACGUUAGCGGCGGACGGGUGAGUAACACGUGGAUAACCUACCUAUAAGACUGGGAUAACUUCGGGAAACCGGAGCUAAUACCGGAUAAUAUAUUGAACCGCAUGGUUCAAUAGUGAAAGACGGUUUUGCUGUCACUUAUAGAUGGAUCCGCGCCGCAUUAGCUAGUUGGUAAGGUAACGGCUUACCAAGGCAACGAUGCGUAGCCGACCUGAGAGGGUGAUCGGCCACACUGGAACUGAGACACGGUCCAGACUCCUACGGGAGGCAGCAGUAGGGAAUCUUCCGCAAUGGGCGAAAGCCUGACGGAGCAACGCCGCGUGAGUGAUGAAGGUCUUCGGAUCGUAAAACUCUGUUAUUAGGGAAGAACAAAUGUGUAAGAAACUAUGCACGUCUUGACGGUACCUAAUCAGAAAGCCACGGCUAACUACGUG